Molecule: non-coding RNA, 80 nt
Organism: Potamilus streckersoni
Lineage: Eukaryota; Metazoa; Mollusca; Bivalvia; Unionida; Unionidae
Source: the annotation of a GenBank genome assembly
UGACCGCUCACGUGGUCUAAGUGGUUAGAACGUCCGCCUCAGAUGCGAGAAGUAGCGGGUUCGAACCCCGACCGAGUCAU